AAAGACUUACAAGACACUCUUAUAUCUUCUGAAUGCAACUCAGAUAUUUUAAUUAAACUAAAGCCUC
This 67-nucleotide transfer RNA is filed under the name Agama atra (Southern rock agama). RNAcentral describes it as "tRNA-Ala". The record is from RNAcentral. Lineage: Eukaryota; Metazoa; Chordata; Lepidosauria; Squamata; Agamidae.